GCCAAGGGCUGAAGAAAUCCAAUACCUUGGCCUGCUGGGAAGCUCGCAGCCAAAAAUGUCCUAAGAACUCCCGGAGGGCCAAGGGCCCUACACUCAAGAAACCUGCAAUUACUGGUCUUGUCUGCCUACAGCCGGCACAGAAAAACACAGUCAGCAGAGAUCAGCACUCCCAGAACUUUUUGUCUAUCUAUGAUUUCUAGCUGGGCAAAGGAAAAGAAGUCCAGCUGUUUAGUAGCAAGAGGCUGCUAUCAUUGUAUCCUUUACUGUAUUAAUUAGAAAUGAUGGCACAGAGAUGUAGCCUCUUGUAAAGUCCCACAGCACACAGGGGGUUGAAUUAGAACUAUAAGCAGGAAGCUGGCCUCCCCGGCCAGAGCUCUGAUUCUUUCCUUCUUAAACUCCUGGUCAAAUGGAGUGACCACAGACGCCAGUGCUGUGCACUGUGGGUGACCCUGAGCAAGUACUUAGCACAGCACAUGAACUAUUAUUACAGUUGACAUUGAAUAAGGACUUAUAUGUUAUUCGGGUUUCGUUUUGCGUUAAGACCAGAGAUAUUUUAUGUCGAUGAAAUAAUACAACUACCCAAACCACCCAACGAAACCGGGUAGACUCUGGAGGAAUACAAAUCUAUAGUAACUCAUGCCGGUGAGCUCACCGCACAAGAGUUAACAGCGAGGCACGCUCUAAAGGAUCCUCGCGUCCGAGCUGCAGGUCCCCAGGCCACAGGGAAGCACCAUUUUCAGUCCGAACUCCCUCUGAGACGGUUCUGCCUGAAGCCUGCCCUUCGGAUGGGGACCUGGCCUCCUUUUCAGGAGAGCGCGGCUCUUGCCAUUUGAAGACGUUUAGUUUUUCAAAGUUGUUUUGCAGUCGCCAAGAUGACCGAUUACUGGCUUAAAAGUUGCUAAAAUAAUCCAGCCCGGUUCGUGACCCUGUAAACCCUGCCGGGGAAGGGCCCGCCUGCCUCCCCCAGUCCAGCGGUGAGCAAAGGCGGCCCGAGACUCCCGGCCCCGCCGCCCGUGGUGCUCGACCCUGAUACCCGCCGCACGCCCGCCGCCCACCUGCCAGGGAAAGGAGGGCAGCGCGCGAGCCGCCAGGAAGCGGCGCUCGAAACUCUGCAGCAGAGACGUGGCCCCCUCGUGGUCCUCAGGCGCCAUCGCGGGGCAGGGCCAGGGUUGCCUGGAAACGGGCGGAAGCGAGGCCUGAGACGGAGGAGGCGUGGCAACUAGGAGGUGCCCUAGCUAUGCUGGACAAAAGGAUUCUCCAUCGAUCGGUGCAGCCCCUGAAGAUGCGGCUUCAGCCAGGACUGUUUGCACCACACACACAGAGGCCAAGUGCAGAUGACCCCAAGGCCAGUUCUUCCUGGGCCAGAGAGUCAACUCCUCACUCCCAAGCUCGGGGGCAGUGACAAUGGUUACAGUCAGAGGCUGAGGAAUUCUGACACCUGGGUUCUCAGAUGCUGCCAGAGGCUGUGGAAUUUUGACUUCUCAGACAUAAGACCUUCUACUCAAGGUCAAGAGCCACAGGUCUGACACUGCAGGUCUGCAUAGCAGCUGGAAGACCUGUAGAGUGAAGAGUCCUGGGCUUGGGAGAUGGCUCGGUGGGUAAAGGUCUUACCAUGGAAACAUGAGGACCCCAGGAAUGCUGGGCAUAACAGCGAUUUCUGUAAUUCCAUCACUCCUGUGUUGAGAUGGAUGGUAGAGACAGGAGAAUUCUUUGAAGCCCAUGGGCUGGCUGGCUUCAUAUAUGCAGCACUGAAUAUGAGGGACUUUGCCUUGAACAUGGUGGGAGGUGAGGACUGAGAGCUAACAUUGUCCUUUGACAUCUACAUCAGUGACAAGACACAACAGCACACGAUAAAAAAACAAAACAGAUGGAUCUGGAGAGAUGGCUCAGUGGUUAGAAGCACCACUGACCUUGCAGGAGACUCAAGUUUGGCUCCCAGCUCACAAAUGCCUGUAACUCCAGGGGCUCAGAUGCCCUCUUCUUGUUAUUAGACGCGUUCUCACGACCGGCCAGGAAAGACGCAACAAACCAGAAUCUUCUGCGGCAAAGCUUUAUUGCUUACAUCUUCAGGAGCCAGAGUGCAAGAGAGCAAGCAAGGAAAUGGCGAAACCCCAUCCCUUUUUAAGGAGAAUUAUCCUCCACCUAGGACGUAUUACUCCCUGAUUAGCUGCAGCCCAUCGGCCCAGUUGUCAUCACGGGAAAGGCAGAACACAUGGUGGGAAAACUGCCCCUGCAUGUGUGCAGACUAUGUUUACCACUUAGAACACAGCUGUCAGUGCCAUCUUAUAAUGGCAAAUGUGAGGGCGGCUCCUCACAUCUUCUGGUUCUCUGGACACCUGCAAUGUGCCCCUAGUGCAUGUGUGCGUGCACACACACACACACACACACACACACACACACACACACCAGUUAGUUUUAAAAUGCCUCAGCUAGCUCAAAGUCUGGGCAGUUCUAAUCCUCCCCUUGGCUAGUACACAUUUUCCUCCUAUAAUUCUGGCUUAACGCCCUCUAGUUCUAUAUUUUAUUUUUGUUGCCCUGGUUCCUUCUGGGUGGCUCCCUAGUCUUUGCUGCACAAGAUGCUUCUGGAUAGCCUUUCCAGGGGCCCAUAUUCCUUCUCACCUACAUUUCGGAUAGUUUUUCCUUCUGCAGCUCUAUAUCCGAUCCAUCUCCCUCUGAAUUAUGGCAAUUCUCUGUUUUCCCUUCUCUCAGUUGCUAGCCCAUGCAAAUCUAAAGGUCCUGCUUCAGUCUGCCUUCCCAACCACUGGUCAUUGUCUCUUUAUUGACCAAUCAAAAGCCAGUUGGGGACAAGAACCUUCAGCAUUUGGACAUGCAGAUUCCCAAUUUUGAGGGCUGGAUUAAUUGGAAGCCUUGGAACCAAUCCCCAGCAUCAUCUUUUCUGUCCAAAUUUUAAAAAAGGCUCUUCUGUCAGACAUAAAUUGAGCAUAACCAUAACAGUUAUGUAAAUUACAAAGUACGAUAUGCAAUUAACAUCCAGUCUGUCAUAUUUGGCAAUUUAGAUAAAGUAUUCUAUUAUCUAUCUUAGCUUAAUGAGUUACAAUUCUGUACCUAAAUCAUGUUUGAUUUCAACUUGUAUUACCAUCUGAAAACCGUCUUUUGAAUCUAGAACACCUUUAAUGCUAAACAGCUUACGUUCAAUUGUGAGGUUAUAAUUAGUCUUCAACCUCGUCAGUCAGAGAUUUGAUAAGGAAUUAAAUAUUACCUGAGUAUGUAGGAAGAACACAGACGCAGCUUCCAAAACCUUUUCUUCCCUGUUCAAAACGAUACCAUCUCCAAGUUAUCCCUUAAAAUGACAGCCCAUCUAUAAUUUGUAAAAUAAUCAUAACCAGACACUCAAACGCAAGGAAUCAGACUGAUGACGCCCAUGGCUUCCUCCUGCCGGAUAGGGAUGAUAAGAAAUUCUUUAAAGGGGUGGGGAGGGGAAGGAAGAUUAGAAAAAGUGCUAGGCUUAAGACAGGUAGAUUUAGCAUCUGUUACCCAUUUUCUGUUCAGGGCUGAACUGAGGUUCUGACUGGGUCCGUCUGAAAGGCUGGAUGAACCAAAUCCACAGGGAAUCAGUGGCAUCCCUGAGGCUGUUCUAGAAGUGAGGCUCUGGAAGCACCAGGAAGCAGGGGGCCGGAGCGGCAGGUCAGCUCAGUGUCCCAGCAGAUGAAUCAGGGUCGUACAAUCUGCAACGUAUGAAUCACAAGCAGAAUUUCUGUACUAUUAAGAUAUUCGUAUCCAUUGUGCAGGGUGCACAGAUCAGUUAAGGAUGAAAUCUGUUCCUUGUUUGAGCAGGUAAAAGACAAUUGUCUUUUUUAUGAAUUAUUUUUAACAAUAACCAAUUGUGUGAUAAAUCUCCAUUCAUGAUAUAUGAAGGAGGGCAUGAAAAAUCUUAAGGAUUCCAUAACCAACAAGAUUUACUGUCUAAUUUUAGCUGAAGUUUUAGUUAGAGACAUUUUUAUGUCUAAGUCAGUUACUGGACUCUUCCCAUGUUGAGGAAUCAGCAGAUCAAGUUGCCUGUCCUGUUCAAUUUUCUCGAAUUUUUCUUUGCUGUAGUCAAGAUCCUCAGAGGGUCUCUCCUGUCCUACCUGAUCCAUAUCACUGUGGAAGGGGUCCAAAGCCUCUUCCCUUUUCCCGUCAGCACAAAUGCAGAGCUUUCUCCCAGGAACUGGAAAGCGUUAAAGGUACAGCUUGACCUCUCUCGCAGAGGAGCUAUAACUGCCACACUCAUAGCCACACGAAUUUUGAUAAUUAAAGCAAUUCAAAGCAGUUAAAGCAAUCUAAACAAACAUUAACCAUUGAGACAGUGCUUCUUCACCAUCUCCUGCUUUUUGACCUAUACUUUAAGAUCAAUAUUUUACACAUCUAUGUAUAGUCAAAUCAUGCCUACUAUGGAGAGGAGCUCUGUGAGUACUUAUGAUAGUAUGUCACUUUCUCUUUAUGUAAUUCUCAAGGCCUAAGUUUCUAUUCUCUGAGAUAGGUUAGACUCCCUAUCCCUUGCUUUUUAAUCUAAUUUUUAAGGAUAGGAAACCUCAGUAUUGUCUAUGUCUACUUACUGUAUAAGUCUAUUUUCAGGCUCAAUUUUGUCAUACCAGGCUAAACAAUCACAGAAAUCUCAUGUGGACUAUGUUCAAAGAUUUUGAGAAUUUGCCCUGGCAAGACUUUUAAAUUUCUCUAAAGAAAUUUUUUUUUUUCAUUCAGUCUCCCUAACUUCUUUCCUCUGUAUACUUAAGAACAUUUAAGCAAUUACCAUUAUACUCUCUUCUAUCCUUAAAAGGAAUUAAAUACAAAUUUAUAAAAAUUUAUUUAUCUGG
RNAcentral lists this long non-coding RNA (4814 nucleotides) under Mus musculus (house mouse). RNAcentral's name for it is "predicted gene 15983". The record is from RNAcentral. Lineage: Eukaryota; Metazoa; Chordata; Mammalia; Rodentia; Muridae.